ACGGCCUACGGUUGUAAACUGCUUUUAUACCGGAAUAAACCUUUGCUCGUGAACAGAGCUGAAUGUACGGUAAGAAUAAGGAUCGGCUAACUCCGUGC
RNAcentral lists this ribosomal RNA (98 nucleotides) under uncultured bacterium. RNAcentral describes it as "partial 16S ribosomal RNA". The record is from RNAcentral.